GACGAACGCUGGCGGCGUGCCUAAUACAUGCAAGUAGAACGCACAGUUUAUACCGUAGCUUGCUACACCAUAAACUGUGAGUUGCGAACGGGUGAGUAACGCGUAGGUAACCUGCCUGGUAGCGGGGGAUAACUAUUGGAAACGAUAGCUAAUACCGCAUAAUAUUGAUUAUUGCAUGAUAAUUGAUUGAAAGAUGCUAUUGCAUCACUACCAGAUGGACCUGCGUUGUAUUAGCUAGUAGGUGAGGUAACGGCUCACCUAGGCGACGAUACAUAGCCGACCUGAGAGGGUGAUCGGCCACACUGGGACUGAGACACGGCCCAGACUCCUACGGGAGGCAGCAGUAGGGAAUCUUCGGCAAUGGACGAAAGUCUGACCGAGCAACGCCGCGUGAGUGAAGAAGGGUGUCGGAUCGUAAAGCUCUGUUGUAAGAGAAGAACGGGUGUGAGAGUGGAAAGUUCACACUGUGACGGUAGCUUACCAGAAAGGGACGGCUAACUACGUG
RNAcentral lists this ribosomal RNA (505 nucleotides) under uncultured bacterium. Its description in RNAcentral is "partial 16S ribosomal RNA". It matches the Rfam family "Bacterial small subunit ribosomal RNA", at positions 28 to 507 of the family's 1533-position model. The record is from RNAcentral.